UAAAACAGAAGCAAAGCUGAAACCUUGUAUGACUAGACUGUGUUAAGAACUCAUGAAGGCUUUUAUUUUGGAAAAAAGACAAAGGAAGUGGCUCUGCUAAUGAACUUGUGUAACUUCACCAGUCACUGACUUUUUUUGCAACCAAGUUAAGAUGCACAAAGGGAGAGGACUGACCCUGGUGGUGACCAUGCUGAAUCACAUGACAGCUGCAGCAGUUCCAGCAGAUGCAGCCAGUGGUGCUAAAAAUGCAUUCACUCUGUUUCUGUACAACAAGAGGUCCAUCACAUCAGAUUGACCCAACAUGCAAACUGUCCAAGGAGACCCUGAACUUCUACUCUCACAUCAUGUGAUGCAUAAAGUAAAGAUUGCUCCCAGAGGUGGCAGGAUCUCAGAGGGAUUCUCCAACUAAUCCUAGCACAUCUACCUCACAACAAACCACUUUGGUAUGAAAUCCUAAAUGUUUUGCUCCUGUCAUCUCGAUCAGUUGGUGUAAGGUUGUCAUAAAACUCUAAAAGUCUUUUUCUUGUCAAUGUCAAUGUCAAUGUACUUUAUUUAUACAGCCCUUUACAGCAGUCCUUUUCGGUGUACCAAAGUGCUUUACAGCAGAUAAUAAAUAAAAAGAACAAU
This is a long non-coding RNA of Larimichthys crocea (large yellow croaker), 627 nucleotides long. RefSeq lists it as uncharacterized. The record is from RefSeq and is a predicted model, not a curated record. The transcript is spliced from 3 exons. NCBI's taxonomy places the organism in Eukaryota, Metazoa, Chordata, Actinopteri, Sciaenidae.